Vicugna pacos (alpaca) is the source of this 190-nucleotide non-coding RNA. Lineage: Eukaryota; Metazoa; Chordata; Mammalia; Artiodactyla; Camelidae. The record is from RefSeq and is a predicted model, not a curated record.
ACGCUCAUCCCAUCUGCGCAGUCGUAACAGUGUUAGCCGGGAACAGCUCUCUGUACUGUCCGUUCAGUAAAAGGGGAGGAACCUGAGAGCUUAACCGACGUUUACCUACAAGUAAGGGAAGGAGGUGCUACACGCUGGAGCAGCCAGUUCAAAGACAAGUGUUUUUUCACGUUGAUCAGUGGUAAGACGU